GUUCUCCAACCCAGUCCUCAUGGACCACCAACAGUUCAGUUUUUUUCAGUAUCUCCAAUAGAAUAAAACAGGAAAAUACAUCAAUCCUGGACUGUUGGUGGUCCAUGAGGACUGGUUUGGGGAC
This 124-nucleotide microRNA precursor is filed under the name Pelobates cultripes (western spadefoot toad). The record is from RNAcentral. Lineage: Eukaryota; Metazoa; Chordata; Amphibia; Anura; Pelobatidae.